UACGUAGGAUGCUAGCGUUGUCCGGAUUUACUGGGCGUAAAGCGCGCGCAGGCGGCUCUGUAAGUCAGGUGUGAAAUCUCCCUGCUCAACGGGGAGGGUGCACUUUAGACUGCAGAGCUAGAGGACGGUAGAGGGGGGUGGAAUUGCUGGUGUAGCGGUGAAAUGCGUAGAGAUCAGCAGGAACACCGGUGGCGAAGGCGGCCCCCUGGGCCGAACCUGACGCUGAGGCGCGAAGGCGAGGGGAGCGAACGGG
RNAcentral lists this ribosomal RNA (253 nucleotides) under uncultured bacterium. RNAcentral's name for it is "partial 16S ribosomal RNA". It matches the Rfam family "Bacterial small subunit ribosomal RNA", at positions 524 to 776 of the family's 1533-position model. The record is from RNAcentral.